Molecule: ribosomal RNA, 497 nt
Filed under: uncultured bacterium
Lineage: Bacteria
Description: partial 16S ribosomal RNA
Rfam family: Bacterial small subunit ribosomal RNA
Source: RNAcentral
GAUGAACGCUGGCGGCGUGCCUAAUACAUGCAAGUCGAGCGAACAGACGAGGAGCUUGCUCCUCUGACGUUAGCGGCGGACGGGUGAGUAACACGUGGAUAACCUACCUAUAAGACUGGGAUAACUUCGGGAAACCGGAGCUAAUACCGGAUAAUAUAUUAAACCGCAUGGUUCAAUAGUGAAAGACGGUUUUGCUGUCACUUAUAGAUGGAUCCGCGCCGCAUUAGCUAGUUGGUAAGGUAACGGCUUACCAAGGCGACGAUGCGUAGCCGACCUGAGAGGGUGAUCGGCCACACUGGAACUGAGACACGGUCCAGACUCCUACGGGAGGCAGCAGUAGGGAAUCUUCCGCAAUGGGCGAAGGCCUGACGGGGCAACGCCGCGUGAGUGAUGAAGGUCUUCGGAUCGUAAAACUCUGUUAUUAGGGAAGAACAAAUGUGUAAGUAACUAUGCACGUCUUGACGGUACCUAAUCAGAAAGCCACGGCUAACUACGUG